AACGAACGCUGGCGGCAUGCCUAAUACAUGCAAGUCGAACGAGAAAGUUUCUUCGGAAACGAGUAGAGUGGCGCACGGGUGAGUAACACGUAGGUGACCUACCUUUUAGUGGGGGAUAACACCGGGAAACCGGUGCUAAUACCGCAUGUGGAAGUAAUUCCAAAGAUGGCCUCUGUAUAUGCUAUCGCUAAAAGAAGGGCCUGCGGGACAUUAGCUUGUUGGUGGGGUAAUGGCCUACCAAGGCGACGAUGUCUAGCUGGUCUGAGAGGAUGAUCAGCCACACUGGAACUGAGACACGGUCCAG
This 304-nucleotide ribosomal RNA is filed under the name uncultured bacterium. RNAcentral describes it as "bacterial SSU rRNA". It matches the Rfam family "Bacterial small subunit ribosomal RNA", at positions 29 to 334 of the family's 1533-position model. The record is from RNAcentral.